RNAcentral lists this ribosomal RNA (253 nucleotides) under uncultured bacterium. RNAcentral describes it as "partial 16S ribosomal RNA". It matches the Rfam family "Bacterial small subunit ribosomal RNA", at positions 524 to 776 of the family's 1533-position model. The record is from RNAcentral.
UACGUAGGGUGCAAGCGUUGUUCGGAAUCAUUGGGCGUAAAGGGCGCGUAGGUGGUUCUGUAUGUCUACCGUGAAAGCGUACGGCUCAACCGUAGUUUGUCGGUGGAAACUGCAGGACUUGAGGCUGGGAGGGGCUGGUGGAAUUCCCUGUGUAGCGGUGAAAUGCGUAGAGAUGGGGGAGAACACUCGUGGCGAAGGCGGCCAGCUAGACCAGUUCUGACACUGAGGCGCGACAGCGUGGGGAGCAAACAGG